Molecule: ribosomal RNA, 489 nt
Filed under: uncultured bacterium
Lineage: Bacteria
Description: partial 16S ribosomal RNA
Rfam family: Bacterial small subunit ribosomal RNA
Source: RNAcentral
AGUGAACGCUGGCGGUAGGCCUAACACAUGCAAGUCGAACGGCAGCACAGUAAGAGCUUGCUCUUACGGGUGGCGAGUGGCGGACGGGUGAGGAAUACAUCGGAAUCUACUUUUUCGUGGGGGAUAACGUAGGGAAACUUACGCUAAUACCGCAUACGACCUACGGGUGAAAGCAGGGGAUCUUCGGACCUUGCGCGAUUGAAUGAGCCGAUGUCGGAUUAGCUAGUUGGCGGGGUAAAGGCCCACCAAGGCGACGAUCCGUAGCUGGUCUGAGAGGAUGAUCAGCCACACUGGAACUGAGACACGGUCCAGACUCCUACGGGAGGCAGCAGUGGGGAAUAUUGGACAAUGGGCGCAAGCCUGAUCCAGCCAUACCGCGUGGGUGAAGAAGGCCUUCGGGUUGUAAAGCCCUUUUGUUGGGAAAGAGAAGCAGCAGGUUAAUACCCCGCUGUUCUGACGGUACCCAAAGAAUAAGCACCGGCUAACUUC